RNAcentral lists this ribosomal RNA (468 nucleotides) under uncultured bacterium. Its description in RNAcentral is "partial 16S ribosomal RNA". It matches the Rfam family "Bacterial small subunit ribosomal RNA", at positions 28 to 507 of the family's 1533-position model. The record is from RNAcentral.
GACGAACGCUGGCGGCAUGCUUAACACAUGCAAGUCGAACGGAAAGGCCCUGCUUUUGUGGGGUGCUCGAGUGGCGAACGGGUGAGUAACACGUGAGUAACCUGCCCUUGACUUUGGGAUAACUUCAGGAAACUGGGGCUAAUACCGGAUAGGAGCUCCUGCUGCAUGGUGGGGGUUGGAAAGUUUCGGCGGUUGGGGAUGGACUCGCGGCUUAUCAGCUUGUUGGUGGGGUAGUGGCUUACCAAGGCUUUGACGGGUAGCCGGCCUGAGAGGGUGACCGGCCACAUUGGGACUGAGAUACGGCCCAGACUCCUACGGGAGGCAGCAGUGGGGAAUAUUGCACAAUGGGCGGAAGCCUGAUGCAGCAACGCCGCGUGCGGGAUGACGGCCUUCGGGUUGUAAACCGCUUUCGCCUGUGACGAAGCGUGAGUGACGGUAAUGUGUAAAGAAGCACCGGCUAACUACGUG